CCUACGGGAGUCAGCAGUGAGGAAUAUUGGUCAAUGGACGAGAGUCUGAACCAGCCAAGUAGCGUGAAGGAUGACUGCCCUAUGGGUUGUAAACUUCUUUUAUAUGGGAAUAAAAUGUUCCACGUGUGGGAUUUUGUAUGUACCAUAUGAAUAAGGAUCGGCUAACUCCGUGCCAGCAGCCGCGGUAAUACGGAGGAUCCGAGCGUUAUCCGGAUUUAUUGGGUUUAAAGGGAGCGUAGGUGGAUUGUUAAGUCAGUUGUGAAAGUUUGCGGCUCAACCGUAAAAUUGCAGUUGAAACUGGCAGUCGUGAGUACAGUAGAGGUGGGCGGAAUUCAUGGUGUAGCGGUGAAAUGCUUAGAUAUCACGAAGAACUCCGAGUGCGAAGGCAGCUCACUGGACUGCAACUGACACUGAGGCUCGAAAGUGUGGGUAUCAAACAGGAUUAGAUACCCUUGUAGUC
RNAcentral lists this ribosomal RNA (460 nucleotides) under uncultured bacterium. Its description in RNAcentral is "partial 16S ribosomal RNA". It matches the Rfam family "Bacterial small subunit ribosomal RNA", at positions 338 to 795 of the family's 1533-position model. The record is from RNAcentral.